RNAcentral lists this ribosomal RNA (2930 nucleotides) under Escherichia coli. RNAcentral's name for it is "23S ribosomal RNA". It matches the Rfam family "Bacterial large subunit ribosomal RNA". Lineage: Bacteria; Pseudomonadati; Pseudomonadota; Gammaproteobacteria; Enterobacterales; Enterobacteriaceae. The record is from RNAcentral.
GGGUUGUGAGGUUAAGCGACUAAGCGUACACGGUGGAUGCCCUGGCAGUCAGAGGCGAUGAAGGACGUGCUAAUCUGCGAUAAGCGUCGGUAAGGUGAUAUGAACCGUUAUAACCGGCGAUUUCCGAAUGGGGAAACCCAGUGUGAUUCGUCACACUAUCAUUAACUGAAUCCAUAGGUUAAUGAGGCGAACCGGGGGAACUGAAACAUCUAAGUACCCCGAGGAAAAGAAAUCAACCGAGAUUCCCCCAGUAGCGGCGAGCGAACGGGGAGCAGCCCAGAGCCUGAAUCAGUGUGUGUGUUAGUGGAAGCGUCUGGAAAGGCGCGCGAUACAGGGUGACAGCCCCGUACACAAAAAUGCACAUACUGUGAGCUCGAUGAGUAGGGCGGGACACGUGGUAUCCUGUCUGAAUAUGGGGGGACCAUCCUCCAAGGCUAAAUACUCCUGACUGACCGAUAGUGAACCAGUACCGUGAGGGAAAGGCGAAAAGAACCCCGGCGAGGGGAGUGAAAAAGAACCUGAAACCGUGUACGUACAAGCAGUGGGAGCACGCUUAGGCGUGUGACUGCGUACCUUUUGUAUAAUGGGUCAGCGACUUAUAUUCUGUAGCAAGGUUAACCGAAUAGGGGAGCCGAAGGGAAACCGAGUCUUAACUGGGCGUUAAGUUGCAGGGUAUAGACCCGAAACCCGGUGAUCUAGCCAUGGGCAGGUUGAAGGUUGGGUAACACUAACUGGAGGACCGAACCGACUAAUGUUGAAAAAUUAGCGGAUGACUUGUGGCUGGGGGUGAAAGGCCAAUCAAACCGGGAGAUAGCUGGUUCUCCCCGAAAGCUAUUUAGGUAGCGCCUCGUGAAUUCAUCUCCGGGGGUAGAGCACUGUUUCGGCAAGGGGGUCAUCCCGACUUACCAACCCGAUGCAAACUACGAAUACCGGAGAAUGUUAUCACGGGAGACACACGGCGGGUGCUAACGUCCGUCGUGAAGAGGGAAACAACCCAGACCGCCAGCUAAGGUCCCAAAGUCAUGGUUAAGUGGGAAACGAUGUGGGAAGGCCCAGACAGCCAGGAUGUUGGCUUAGAAGCAGCCAUCAUUUAAAGAAAGCGUAAUAGCUCACUGGUCGAGUCGGCCUGCGCGGAAGAUGUAACGGGGCUAAACCAUGCACCGAAGCUGCGGCAGCGACGCUGAUGCGUUGUUGGGUAGGGGAGCGUUCUGUAAGCCUGCGAAGGUGUGCUGUGAGGCAUGCUGGAGGUAUCAGAAGUGCGAAUGCUGACAUAAGUAACGAUAAAGCGGGUGAAAAGCCCGCUCGCCGGAAGACCAAGGGUUCCUGUCCAACGUUAAUCGGGGCAGGGUGAGUCGACCCCUAAGGCGAGGCCGAAAGGCGUAGUCGAUGGGAAACAGGUUAAUAUUCCUGUACUUGGUGUUACUGCGAAGGGGGGACGGAGAAGGCUAUGUUGGCCGGGCGACGGUUGUCCCGGUUUAAGCGUGUAGGCUGGUUUUCCAGGCAAAUCCGGAAAAUCAAGGCUGAGGCGUGAUGACGAGGCACUACGGUGCUGAAGCAACAAAUGCCCUGCUUCCAGGAAAAGCCUCUAAGCAUCAGGUAACAUCAAAUCGUACCCCAAACCGACACAGGUGGUCAGGUAGAGAAUACCAAGGCGCUUGAGAGAACUCGGGUGAAGGAACUAGGCAAAAUGGUGCCGUAACUUCGGGAGAAGGCACGCUGAUAUGUAGGUGAAGUCCCUCGCGGAUGGAGCUGAAAUCAGUCGAAGAUACCAGCUGGCUGCAACUGUUUAUUAAAAACACAGCACUGUGCAAACACGAAAGUGGACGUAUACGGUGUGACGCCUGCCCGGUGCCGGAAGGUUAAUUGAUGGGGUCAGCGCAAGCGAAGCUCUUGAUCGAAGCCCCGGUAAACGGCGGCCGUAACUAUAACGGUCCUAAGGUAGCGAAAUUCCUUGUCGGGUAAGUUCCGACCUGCACGAAUGGCGUAAUGAUGGCCAGGCUGUCUCCACCCGAGACUCAGUGAAAUUGAACUCGCUGUGAAGAUGCAGUGUACCCGCGGCAAGACGGAAAGACCCCGUGAACCUUUACUAUAGCUUGACACUGAACAUUGAGCCUUGAUGUGUAGGAUAGGUGGGAGGCUUUGAAGUGUGGACGCCAGUCUGCAUGGAGCCGACCUUGAAAUACCACCCUUUAAUGUUUGAUGUUCUAACGUUGACCCGUGAUCCGGGUUGCGGACAGUGUCUGGUGGGUAGUUUGACUGGGGCGGUCUCCUCCUAAAGAGUAACGGAGGAGCACGAAGGUUGGCUAAUCCUGGUCGGACAUCAGGAGGUUAGUGCAAUGGCAUAAGCCAGCUUGACUGCGAGCGUGACGGCGCGAGCAGGUGCGAAAGCAGGUCAUAGUGAUCCGGUGGUUCUGAAUGGAAGGGCCAUCGCUCAACGGAUAAAAGGUACUCCGGGGAUAACAGGCUGAUACCGCCCAAGAGUUCAUAUCGACGGCGGUGUUUGGCACCUCGAUGUCGGCUCAUCACAUCCUGGGGCUGAAGUAGGUCCCAAGGGUAUGGCUGUUCGCCAUUUAAAGUGGUACGCGAGCUGGGUUUAGAACGUCGUGAGACAGUUCGGUCCCUAUCUGCCGUGGGCGCUGGAGAAUUGAGGGGGGCUGCUCCUAGUACGAGAGGACCGGAGUGGACGCAUCACUGGUGUUCGGGUUGUCAUGCCAAUGGCACUGCCCGGUAGCUAAAUGCGGAAGAGAUAAGUGCUGAAAGCAUCUAAGCACGAAACUUGCCCCGAGAUGAGUUCUCCCUGACUCCUUGAGAGUCCUGAAGGAACGUUGAAGACGACGACGUUGAUAGGCCGGGUGUGUAAGCGCAGCGAUGCGUUGAGCUAACCGGUACUAAUGAACCGUGAGGCUUAACCUUACAACGCCGAAGCUGUU